Molecule: ribosomal RNA, 497 nt
Filed under: uncultured bacterium
Lineage: Bacteria
Description: partial 16S ribosomal RNA
Rfam family: Bacterial small subunit ribosomal RNA
Source: RNAcentral
GAUGAACGCUGGCGGCGUGCCUAAUACAUGCAAGUCGAGCGAACAGACGAGGAGCUUGCUCCUCUGAUGUUAGCGGCGGACGGGUGAGUAACACGUGGAUAACCUACCUAUAAGACUGGGAUAACUUCGGGAAACCGGAGCUAAUACCGGAUAACAUGUUGAACCGCAUGGUUCAACAGUGAAAGACGGUCUUGCUGUCACUUAUAGAUGGAUCCGCGCCGCAUUAGCUAGUUGGUAAGGUAACGGCUUACCAAGGCAACGAUGCGUAGCCGACCUGAGAGGGUGAUCGGCCCCCCUGGAACUGAGACCCGGUCCCGACUCCUACGGGAGGCCGCCGUAGGGAAUUUUCCGCAAUGGGCGAAAGCCUGACGGAGCAACGCCGCGUGAGUGAAGAAGGUCUUCGGAUCGUAAAACUCUGUUAUUAGGGAAGAACAAAUGUGUAAGUAACUAUGCACGUCUUGACGGUACCUAAUCAGAAAGCCACGGCUAACUACGUG